AUGACCAAAGACAACUUGUUAAAGAGAGGGAUUACUAAACCACCUGAAUGUGUUUUUUGCAAGGAACAUGAAUCCAUAGAUCACCUGUUCUUUGGCUGUGUGGUUGCUAAACAAAUCUGGAGUGAAAUGUCUAGAAUUCUUUCUCAUGAUGUAGGUAACAACUACCUAUCCAUUGCUAGAUUCUGGCCAGCCCAUAAAAACAAACUAGUCUUGAACUCUGUUUGUGCCUGUGUUAUGUGGUGCAUCUGGAAGUUUAGAAAUUCUAUGGUUUUCAAUAAUGUGUUGUGGUAUGACCUCAAACAGAUAUGGUGGCAGAUUCAUUUGACUCUCAAGAAGUGGAUGAUCCUGUUCAAAGAAUCUCCCUUGGAAGAGUUGAAGAUGGUUUCUCAAAAAGUUGCAGUGAUCCUCACCUCCCCUUUCCUGCUGACUGUGGGGUGA
Molecule: ribosomal RNA, 438 nt
Filed under: Triticum aestivum (bread wheat)
Lineage: Eukaryota; Viridiplantae; Streptophyta; Magnoliopsida; Poales; Poaceae
Description: partial small subunit ribosomal RNA
Source: RNAcentral